This 20293-nucleotide long non-coding RNA is filed under the name Ananas comosus (pineapple). Its description in RNAcentral is "long non-coding RNA (ACOM_LNC024785)". Lineage: Eukaryota; Viridiplantae; Streptophyta; Magnoliopsida; Poales; Bromeliaceae. The record is from RNAcentral.
AUCUUUACUAAUAUGUGAAUUUAGGAGUGAGGCUAUUAUGCUUCCAGAAGCACGGAGUUUUCUGUGCUUCUAGGUUGUUUUUGAUGUUGCGACUUUCGAAUCGUCGAUCGGCUCCGUUAAACUUAAUCUAGAGAAUUUUAAAUACCUAGAAAAUAAAUUUUGUAAUUUUUCGAUAACAUUUGUCUAGUGAACUAAGGGGCUCAAAAUCAACGGCUGAAAAUAAAAAUCUUACAAAACGUGAUAAUGUGACAUUAAAAUUUUAGAUUAAAGAUAUUGAUCUUGUUUCAUAUAGUAUAAAAAAUUUUCUAUCAAAAUUUCACGUGAUUUGGAUAUUUCUACACCGUUAAACUUGCAAACGGCUCACAACAGCCAUUAAAAUUAUUGAUUUUGAGUCCCUUCGAUCACAAGGCAAAUGAUAUCGAAAAAUCAUAAAAUUUAUUUUCUAAGUACUUCAAAUACUCUAGAUCAAGUUUAACGGAGCCGAUCGACGAUUCGAAAGUCGCAACAUUAAAAACGACCUGAAAGCACAGAAGGCUCCGUGCUUUUAGAAGCAUAGUAGCCUCACUCGUGAAUUUAGAUCCUGAUGUUGUACUAACUCAUUUCUAUAAGAUUGAGUAUAUAUAAAUCUAGACUCCUGAGUUAUUUCUAUUUGAAUUACCAUGGGAAGGUUGAGAUUCCAAUCUAUUAAAAGUUUUAAUUUAUAAUUCUUUAAAUUUACUGCGAUAAAAUUCUUUAAUUUUACUGGAACAGAGAAAUUUUAAAUAUACACCCUGUUGCUGGACAAAGCAGGUACUUAGCCUUGAAUAAUUUUAUACGAAUGAUGACCGUCUGAUCCAUUCCACAUGGAGUCGGCAGGUUAGAUCGGACGGUCAUGAUUUACCGACAGCCAGGUUCAUGUAUCCGGGAGCCGUCACUCGAUUCGAGAUGCAUCCAAAAAUUAAAAAGGGUUCAUGAUUUUUUGUGUCGUGAUCAUGUAGACCCUAACAAUUAAUAUAAUAAUAACAAUAAUAAUAAUGCCAAGUUACUUUUUUUUUUUUUUUGUCUUAUAUGAUAUUUGAUAUUUUGAUUCUUUGGCUUUAAUUUAUUAACACAAAUAUUUUUUAAAUCAAUAUCUACAGUAAAAUUUACUUCACUAAAUCCCGGUACCUUGUUGAUAUAAUAGUAUUGUAAUUGACAGCGUAAGAACGAUUAAGAUGCUACAUUACUAACACGGGAGCAAUGCAUCAUUUUCUAAUUAACUAAACCGUACUUUCCAAAUUAAUUGCAACAAAUUUAAAAUUUUGAACUAAAAAUUAGGACGAGUUGCACGUUUGGUUCACAAACUAUGAAUCCGCUGCACUUUUGUCCCCAAAUUUUAAUUCGUCAUAAUUUUUUACUCAGACUUUUUAUUAAAAGUGACAAAAUAUUAGUGUGUCGCUAACGUAGAGAUAACAUAGUAGUAUUAUGAUUGACGAUGAGAAUGUCAGAUUAUUUUUAUAUUAAUAAUACGUUAAAAUUUAGCCAACUAAAUUAAAUUGCAGGACCUAAGUGCGAUAAUUCUAAAAAGUUCCAACCAGAAAUUGUUUGCAAGUGUCAUCAGGCUCAUAAUCUGAGAAUCAAAUGCAUAAUUAUUUAUAAAAAUUGUAAAUUUGUAAUAAAUUAAAAUUCGAGGACCAAAAUAGUACUAAUCGAUAGUUUGGGGACCGAAAGUGUGAUUUAGUGGAAUAAUAAUGGUGAAGUUACUUAGAUGGGCCAAAGCCCACAUGGGAGGAGAGAAGCGAGGCCCACCAACACGCGCAAACAGGUAGUUAGAGAUUGGCUCGGGAUCUGAUCCCUCGCAUUGGGCCCCACACAUCGUGGGCUGCUCCCUAACCCCCGGUGUUAACACAUUGAUCUCUCCGAUCUCUUCCUCUCAAGGGCAAUCUCGUCAAUCCACAAAAAAUUAAUUAAGGACUUGUUUGGCCGAGCAGUGUGGUUUAAAAUUGGAUAAACUUUAAAUACCACCUCACCUCUGUGGUUUCGCAUAAAGUACCCUGUGAUUUGAAGUGUAUUAAGGUAGAGCUCAUCAGCUUCUCCAUUAAUAUUUUGUUAAAUUAUAUACAAAAUACUUCAGAUACUUCAUCUAGAUUUAUCGAAUAUUUAUUUUAGUACCCUUAAGUUUUAACUUUGUUACUGAUUUAAUGAAAAAAAUUAGUGAAAUCGAUAAUAAAAAGAUAAAAAUGAAAUCACAGAGCAUUAAAUUGAUAUACUUUAAACCACAAGGUACUAAAGUGAGAAAGUGUGAAACUACUAGAGUAGUAUUUGAAGUUUUUCAAAAAAAAUUUAUGUGCACAGUAUCUUCUUUUCAUUAAUAUUAAAAUCAGGCUUCCUUUGGUUUGCCCUAACCAUAUUGUAGAUUAGAUUUUUUUAAAAAAAAAUAAGAGAGAAAAAGAUAGCUGAAUCACCUGAUCAGUAUAAUAGUGUAGAUUAGUUGUUGAACCACAAUCAGUAUCCAAGGUAAACCCCUCAUUUCAAAUAGGCAUUUGAAUCAACUAGUCUCAAAAUUACAAAGAAUUUACUAUUAGUAUAAAAUAAGAACGCUCGUCUCAGCAUAAUUAACUGAAGUGGUCUUGCGAGUUUGCCCCCAAAUUUAAAUAGAUUAAUACCCAACGUGGCAAUGGACUUUAUAGUCGAUAUCUGAUAUUUCAAAAUUGAAACCUUGAUAUUUCAUAUUUUCAAUUAAGUUUAUUUGCCGAUAGUAUACUAUUUUUUUUUCUCAUUUCAUAUUUUUUUAUAAGAAGGGAAAAAAAAAAAUCUCUCGCGGAAAAGUAAACCUUACAAAGCCUAGUUUCUCAAGCUCUUUUGUGUAUCUCAAAUAAUCUACUGAAUAUAAAUAAGUAAAUCUUGUUCAUGCGCAAAACUAUAUAGUUUCUCUUUUGGCCAUUUCCACACACACACAUGACACAUAUCUCUCUCACCGAUCAACUCAGAGAUUCACAUGGUCUCCGAUAUAAAAAUUCUGGUGCAUUAAGCAGAGCAGCAGCUGCAGUAAUGAAACAGAGUAGCACAUGGCAAUCCCAUUAAUUAAAUACUUUUUAGGGUAAAAUACGCGCACUAACGGCCACAAAGACUAAUGUCGGUGCGACAAACAUUGCCUAUGUUGUUUGAUUGUACUCAAAUUGUAUGAUUGAAGCACUUAUUUUAUUAUUAUUAUCCUUCUCCGGUCCAGUACAAUUGAUUAAUAUUGUAAAUUAUCGAUCAGAAAAUCAAAUUUUCAAUUCGAUUCUCUGCAUGCGUGUUUCAAAAUUGGACGUUACUUUUUGGAUUGAAUUAAAUUGAAUGAAACUAACGCCGAUGUUACUUACCUAGUACGGGCAUUUCUACAGACAUAUAUGUCAUAAGUCGUAGGUAUAUUUAACAAAUUAUCCGUCAUUUACUCAUUCGCAUUGCAAUUUAUGUCAAUUAUACACUAUUUUGAUUUUAAAUUUUGAAUGUGCGGUUUAGUAUACUUCAUGCGCUCUCACAAUUAUAAAUUUAUUAAAAUAAAUAAUUAGCUUAAAUUUUAAAAUCAAAUUAUUGUUAAUAAAUUUAAAUCAAACAAAUUGAUUUAAUAGUAAAAUUAAAAUCUAAAAAAAAUUAAAUAAUUGGUUUAAAAUCAUCAUUAGUUCAGAUAUUUUAGAUAUAUAAUUUUAAAUUUGAAAGCGCCAAUACAUAACUGUAUUAAAUCAACGAACUGUACCAUGGAGCACAAAAACGGUAAACGUCACUUCGCGACACACUAAGCCGGUUCAAUUCGGCGAACCGGGUUCGGAGGGGACGGCCCACUGGGCCAACUCCGGUCUCAAAUCCAAACACCGGUAUCAAUCAACACACACCAAUCGAUGGGAAGGAAAAAGGCCCGGUUCAAUCGAACCGGUAAAAUGACGAUAGUACCCUCGGAAGCGGCUUAAAUUGCAUGGCGCCUCGUGUCGGAGAUAGGGGGUGGCGUGUAACGCCGAAGCGAAACGGGCCACGUGACCACUGACACUGCCUGUUCCCAUGCCCGUGAGGGGCAAUAUCGUCAUUUCACUACAAAGUCCCUCUCCUCCACGGAAAAUUCUAGAAUGCAACGGGUAUAUUAAUGACGUGGCGUAACAAACCAAUCAAAUUAAUUUUUUUAAGAAUAUAUGUCCCAUCAUGAUUGUAAAAAAGUAUUUUUAUUAUACUUUUAUUUGAAAAGAAGAAAUGUGAUUGGCUUGUUAUUGAUGACGUGGUGCAAGUGUGACAGUGUAGAAUUCCUCCUCAUUCACAUACGAGGAGAAGUUAUCGCCUCAACCCGGUGCAUUCGUACGCUUCAUGCACCGAACUCAAAUUAUUUUAGCCUGAGUGUUUCGAGGCUUACUUUGAUAUUGAGGUCCAUACGAUGUUACUAAAUAAAAUAAAAUUAUGAUAAAAAUAUAUAAGGAUAUGCUUCUGAGUUAUGUGGUAGAAUUGUAAAAAUGUAUCGUAACUGACUCAUCGUGAUAUGCGAAACGCAAUAUUAUAUACGAAAAUAAAUAUAAUAUUUUUUUUAUCGUACUUUUUCACUACACAUAACGUAAUCUUGUCGCAAUCUCAAAUGAAACCAAAAACUAAAAUAUAGUACACAACCUACAACCUCUAAAUAAAUUAUAUAUAUAAAAAAAUUAUAGUUUGUAUUGAAAUAUUAUUUGGUUUAGAAUAAAAGAAAUUAAAAAAUUAUAAUUUCUUUUAUAUGAUAUAAUUUUUAAAAAAUAUUAUAGCGUAUAAAUAAUAAAGUAGAUUUUAGUUUUGAGAUUUUAUCAUUACUCUUUAGAAGCAUAAGCAAGAUAGCAUUUUGACACUCAUGUGGAUAUUGAUGAGGGGUUUUUUUUUUUGGUGUCGAAGGUUUUUUUUGGUGUCUCAUUACAAUUUAUUUGUUAUAGUUAUUUUUCUUAGAAUCAAAUCAAUCUCUUCAUAUUAUAUAAAAGGGAAAACUUCAAAUACCCCUAUGUGAUUUCGCACUUUCUCACUUUAAUACCAUGUAGUUUAAAGUGUAUCAAGUUAGCACCCAGUGGUUUCGCACUUUCUCACUUUAAUACCCUGUGGUUUAAAGUGUAUCAAGUUAGUACUCUGUGGUUUCCCUUUUGUAUCAAGUUAGUACCCAGUGGUUUUAAUUUUUUUUUUUUAUUAUCCAUUUCAGGAUAUAUAAUUUAACGAAAUAUUAAACCAUAUGAUACUAAAGUGAGAAAGUGCGAAACCACAGAAUACUAACUUGAUACACUUUAAACCACAUGGUACUAAAGUGAGAAAAUGCGAAACCACAGGAUACUAAUUUGAUACAUUUUAAACCACAUGGUACUAAAGUGAAAAAAUACGAAAUCACAAGUUGAGUAUUUGAAGUUUUCUCUAUAUAAAAAUACAAAAAUAUUAAAAUAUCAUUUUUAAAAUAAAGUUAAUAUAUUCAUCCUGAUUAGACUCGUUUUACCCACAAUGAUUGAAAUACAUUUUACGCCUAAUUUAGAUGAAUUAUAAAUCAUUUUGAAUUAGACAUCAAGUCUUUUAAAAUUUUAAUUUUAUUAUUUAAUAUUUAAAUUUAUUUGAUUUGAACCAAUUAACAAUAUUUUUAUUUUAAAAUUUAAGCCUAUUACUUAUUUUAAUAAAAUUUACAGUUUCAAAAAUUAUCUAAAAUAUAUACUAACUAACUUAUAAAAAUAAUAAUAUAUUUAAAUUUUAAAAUCUAUUGCCUAACUCAAAUCAAAUAAAUUAAAAAAUUCGACAGUAAUUUAAAAUUUUUAAAAAAUUGUGAGGACACGUGGCGAGAAACUCAGCACGAGACGCGGUGGCAUUGUGGAAAAUUUCUCGAAACCCAGUGGCAUUUAACGAGAGCAGGUCCUUAUAAGGACUCAUGGUGCGCCCCCCCCUUUUCUCUCUCAACUCAUCUCCAUCGAUCAUCUCCUUCAUUUCUCACCGUAUAAGCCAAUAGGAUGUCGCGUUAUGGUGCGCCGCUACUGCUAUUGUGCGCCGCGGUUCACGUAGCAUUCGCCAUUAAUGAUGGUAAUAAUAGUAACACUUAUCUCUGAGCUCCUCUUUUACUUCUUAUAUAUAUAUAUCUACAUAGCUUCUUUUUUUUUUUUUUUUAAAAAAAGUAGAAAUAUAAUAUUUGUAAAUUACAAAUAAAUAUUCUGANCUUCUUCAGUUUUUUUUUUUUUUUUUUUUUUUUACUUUCAAAUGUGAUUUUUUUCAAAUUUUAUUUUCAAAAUCAACUUAAUGUGAACAAAUAGUUAUGUAUCCGUUGCAAUGACAUUGUUGUUAUUUAAAUAAUAACAAGUACUACGUACUCAAGUGCAAUUUUUUUUUUUUUAAUCACACGGGGCUCUGUUCAAACUCCUGCAUAAAAGUUAGAGAUUCAAACUUUCGACUUCUCAAAUAAUAAUAUACUAUAUUUUGGAGCCGUUACAUUUGAAUUCUUAGAGUUAUUAUUAUUUAUUAUUAUUUGGAACACACAUGGGUACCACCCCUGCAUCGUGUAUGAAAAGAUGCAUAGGUUUCAAAAAUCUCUAGAUUCUAGUUGGGAUUCUAUAAUCGGAGUCUAAUAAUAUUCAAAUGAACAUUUACCAUAAAAUUCACUGUUGAAACUAUCAGUGUGCACUUACAGUUUUUAAUGUAAGUGGUAAAUAAUUUAAUAGUUAGUAUUCGAAGUUUUAUUGCUUUAUAUUUUUAGCUAAGUUUAUUUUUUAAGAAAAAAAAAACUAAACAGAAUGGUAGCGUGAAAAAAAUUUUUUUUUUUUUUUUUUGAGAGAUAGAUAGCACGCUACCCGCUUCGUUUAUUUCAUUUUGAAAUAAACUUAGCUAGAAAUGUAAAUCAACUAGGAUUCGAACUUGGGUUUCGGAUAUCGACCACCAAGUCCUUUGUCACUUGUCACUUGCUCUAGGGAUGGUCGGUUAGCGUGAAAAAAUUGUUAGUAUACAAGUAUUAGAAGAUUCAGUUACAGUAAGUCUUAUUUCUCUUUUUGCUAGAUUAAGAAUGUCUAGGAUUCUCGAGGACUACUACAGUUGUUAAUCUAGGUAAUUUUUUUUGGAUAAGUAUGAAUAAUUUUAGAUUGAUUCUAACUCCUACAAAAACAAGAACUUCAAAUUAGUUCAUUAUCUUUUCAACAUAGUAAAUUUAGCUAAAAAUAUAAAAUAAUUAGAUUUUGAAUUUAGAACCUCAGAUACCAACCAUUAAAUCUUUUAUCACUUAUGCUAGAAAUAGUAGGUAAAUAAUUAUUUUUUAUAGUAGAAAAAUUAUUUUAAUAUUGGAUAAAAAGCAGUGCUUAUAUAACUUAGAAAACACCAGCAAAUGGAUGGUCAUUGUAUUUUUCUACCAAAACCAGGAGGUGGUUGCUAUUAAUGGGGAUAUGGAUCUACCUAAAAUUUAGCUGUUUCUUUAACGUCGCAAUCAAAUCUAUCAGAUACCAAUUGGCUUCUAUUAAUUGGAUGAACAGUGAAAGAAGUUAAUGAAGCAAUAGUUUUAGUAAAAUAGAAAAUUUUCUAAACCUGAAUGAUUUUUACUGAGCUUGUUUUACUGAACACAGAAUAAGUCGAAUUCAAGGAGAUGUUGAGCCUAUUGGAAUUAGCUAUGUGCAUUUCAAAAUUUCUACUCAUCAAUUAAGUAGAAAGCUUAAUAACACCGUCUUUUACGAUAGAGAUAAGUUAUAUAUUUAACAUGCAUAUAAAACGGUUGUAGUUAUAGCAUUUACUUGCUAAUAAAAUUGGCAUCAAUAUUUGUGCCAUGCUGGGGAGCUAUUUGCUAGCUUCAUCAGAAUAUUCUUUUGACUUGACCUAAAAGUAAUUAAUAUGGUAGAUUCAAAAUUUGAAAUGUUGGCCAUGUGGACCAUGUGGAACUUCAUUAUUUGAGUGUCAGAUGUGUGGGUUGUAUUAUUGUAUAUGGGUCAUAUAUAGGUCUUUAGAUCCCAGAAAUGGAAAUUUAACCUUCACAGGAGAAAUAUUUUACUUCUUUUCAUAAUGUUGAUUUUACAUGAUGUUAAUUUUUGAUUAAUUUAUGCACAUGUUUUAAUUUUUAUAUGAAUUUGUUAAUACUGUUAAUAGAGAGCAGUAAUUUUUCUUUGGCCACUGUGAUAGAUGGUUGGAAGUAGCUGCAAAUUGCUGUCAAAAGUUAAAAAAAAAAAUAUUUUUUUCUGGAUUAAAAAAAAUUAUUCGUUGGAUUACUGUCGCGUCAGUAAUAUAUAAAAAUUUAGGAAACUAAAAAAUAAUACAGUUGAUGAAACUAGUGCUCAGCAGAAUUACUCAUAAUUAAAUUUCAAAAGGCAUUAAAUUUACUUUAAAAAUAGAGGGCAAAAUUUUAAAAGAAGCCAAUGCAAUUUACUCUUAAUUGUUUUGUAAUAUUACUUGAGACUUGCACCAUGUAACAAGGAAGCAUGAGGGGGCCUAUUGGGUAGCUGGAGAAAUAAGUGCUUCUACAGAGGCUAAAUUUAUGAUUGGGCCUUGCGACAGCUUUGACCAGCCUAACUUCUCAUAAUUGAAGGGGCAAAAUUAUUGGGCUUAUCAUAGCAAAAUAGUGGCAAUCUUCAGUAGAAUAUAAAUAUUUUUUUAAUCAACUCAACUAAAAAUAUAAAAUAACUAGAUUUUGAAUUUGAGAUCUCAGAUGCUGAUGCUGCUCAUUAAAUUUUUAGUCAACUGCGCUGGAUAGAAUACAAUAUUAAUGACUAAUAAAUGACCAAUACAGCAGUCACCACUUGAUUGCAUUCCAUAUAUCCUUUUAGGAUAUCGACUGUUGCUAGCAUAAGUGGUAAAGGAUUCGAUGGUUGGUAUCCGAGGUUUUAAAUUCGAACUCUAGUUGAUUCACAUUUCGAGUUAAAUUUAUUUUUUUUAAAAAAUAAACGAAAUGAAUAACAUGUUAUUUUUUUCUCUAAAAAAAAACAUAUCCUUUUCGAACUAUUCCUUUUAAAAUUUUGCGCAAAGAGUGAUUCUGGUUCUCAUUGGUAAUUAACUGUCGAUCUAACAUGCAUAUAAUUAUUAGUUACUGGCGUGCGUAAAAAAUUCUUGCACACGAAAUUAAUUUUAUGCAAUGCUAAUGAAUUUGUGGUGGUGCGACUGCGCGCGUUAGGACUUCUUCCGAACGGGAACUUCGAGGCGGGGCCGAAGCCGUCGGAGCUGCGGGGGACGGAGGUGGUGGGGCGGCACGCGAUCCCGGAGUGGGAGGUGUCGGGGUUCGUGGAGUACAUCGAGUCGGGGCACAAGCAGGGGGACAUGCUGCUGGUGGUGCCGGAGGGGGCGCACGCGGUGCGGCUGGGGAACGAGGCGUCCAUCCGGCAGCGGCUGCGGGUGGCGCGGGGCGCGUACUACGCCGUGACCUUCAGCGCGGCGCGGACGUGCGCGCAGGAGGAGCGGCUGAACGUCUCGGCCACCCCCGACUCCGGCGUGCUGCCCAUGCAGACCAUGUACAGCAGCACGGGCUGGGACUCCUACGCCUGGGGCUUCCGGGCGCUCUUCGACGAGCUCGAUCUCGUCAUCCACAAUCCGGGCCUCGAGGAGGAUCCCGCCUGCGGCCCCCUCAUCGACUCCGUCGCCAUUCGCACGCUCUACCCGCCCAGAUUAACAAACAGUAAGUAGUAGUGAUUAAUUCUUCUUCUUCUUCGCAUCCGCUAGAUCUAUAUAUCCAAAAAGAUCAUUAUUAAUAAUAAUAUUUGGUGGUGUAUAAUUGGGUGGGGGGACAGAGAAUCUGCUGAAGAACGGGGACAUGGAGGAGGGGCCGUACAUAUUCCCGAACACGACGUGGGGGGUGCUGAUACCGCCGAACAUCGAGGACGAGCACUCGCCGCUGCCGGGGUGGAAGGUGGAGUCGCUGAAGGCCGUCAAGUACGUGGACGCGGCGCACUACGCGGUGCCGCGGGGGCUCCGCGCGGCGCAGCUGGUGGGGGGGCGGGAGAGCGCGCUGGCGCAGGUGGCGCGCACCGAGCCCGGGCGCAGCUACGCGCUGACGUUCGCCGUGGGCGACGCCGGCGACGCCUGCGCGGGGCCCAUGGUCGUCGAGGCCUUCGCGGCGCGCGCCUCCCUCCGCGUGCCCUACGAGUCCAAGGGCACCGGCGGGUUCAAGCGCGCCGUGCUCCGAUUCGCCGCCGCGGAGAAGCGCACCACCGUCGUCUUCCUCAGCACCUACUACCACAGCAAGCCCGACGGCUCGCUCUGCGGGCCCGUCGUCGACGACGUCGCGCUCCUCAGCGUCCGCAACGCCACCAAACCAAAACCACCGCUACGGCUCAGGCUCCUGUGAGCUUAAUUUUGCGGCACAUGGCCGUGUAUACUAGUUACUACUGUUGGAGUAUUUGAUUUUGGGUGGAGUGGUGUGGUGUUUGUUAUUGUUUUACUCUCUUCGUUUUGGUACGUGCGUACGUGUAUACCAGGUAGGUGCCCUGUGGCUACCACGAAAAACUUUUUUGAGUGCUAGCAUAUGUGGCGCGUUGAUCAGUGGGGUGGGAAAGAGGUUACUUAAUGGUUUGUUCCGUGGAAUAUAAACUGUGUACUUGUGAUUCAAAUGCAAUUACUCUGAAUGUUUACGGUCUUAUGUACGACCAAGUGGUUGUUUUACGUUCUUUUAUUAGAGUUUGAUUUGAUUGGAUGGAUAAACACCGCAUUUCUUACAUUUCUCGAGUUUAGAUUUUUUAUUUUUUUUUAAGAUAAAUGCAUUUAUUAGUAGAUUGGGCUUGAAAUUAAAUUUCUCAAAAUGAAGAUAAACUAAUAUCAUAGUCGAAUGUUUUAUUUUUUCCACACAACUAAUUAUAACUUCUAAAUCUUGCAAGAGACUAAAAACAAACUUUUAGAUCACAGCUGCUAAUAACUAAAAUAUAAAAAAAAAGGUUCUCACUACUCUGUGUCGCCUGCCAUUCAACUGUUACAGUGUUUUUUUCCCCCCCCAAUAAUUAGGCUGUAAAAAUAACUCCAGAUGAUCUCAUGAACUACCACCAAAUACACCUGGAAGUGGUGCAUAUGCAGCGAAAAAUUGGAAAAGUAAUAUACAUGGCUUCAAUAUGAAAGAAAAACAAUAAGGUUAUUACAUACUAUUGCAGAACACGCUAUUCUCCAUUUAGAACAAACCAGAAUGUUGCCAACAGGGAGCUCAAAUAAAACCAGACAGCGAGCAACAAGACGGAGAGCAAUAGUAAGUAAAAAAAGGUGUUAUCUGUCAUAUCCAAACACAAUCAAAGAGUGAAAAUAAAAACCUUCGAGUCUAUCAAGUUACACAUAUCAAGUACAGUAGUACACAUCCGAACGGACAAUUUUGGAAUGGAACUAAGAAAUUCAAAUCUUGUAACUAUCACCAAAAUGUAAUUCAGCUACUCUCCAUCUGGUAAAAGCUUUGAUCAUAAGUUAUACCUGCUUCUACAUCUUUCUUCUUUCCUGAGGGAGGCUCCAAUUGACGACUGUUGCAAAUUCCUUGUUAGAAGCUUGGCUUAGUUUCAAAAAGCGUAACAAAUGAUUCGAAUUGGAAAUUGCAAGAAAGAGCUUAUAUUUGAUGGCAGUCCGACAGUCAGAAGGUUGAGAAAGAUUCGGUCUUAACAGAGACUGCUGCAAAACAGAUGUACGCAUGGAAUACAGACAAGUGCCCCAGCAUGCCUUUCCAAAAGUUGCUAAGCAAAUCUGAAAUUCCGAGUCCAAGAAUUCAAGGCCAGCAAAGUUCAAUUAGAGUGCAUAUAGAUAAACAACAUUGGCAUCUAUUGGAAGAACAUUUCCUGAGCAUUUUCCAUCUACAAGGUGACAAUGCACCACUUUGCUAAAGACUAUCAACAAGGAAAUUGAAAAGAACAUCAGCAACAGCAUCAGAAACCACACAGUUCUAGAACCAUCACAAAUAAUAAUGCCACGUACCUUGUAAAGAAAGUCCUAAUUGUCACCUGUUUCCUGUAACUUUUAAGUCUUAUUAGCUCUAAGAUUUCUUGCUCGCUGAAACACAAAAUAUCAAGAUAUUAUUUCUCAUUUAUUCCCGUGAUGCUUCUCAAGGUGGUCCGAUCCUUUCAACCAUCAAAAUUUGCAUAAAAUAGUCGUUAAGUACAAACAAUUGAUGAUGAUGCGCUAAAUGCCUUUAGUAUCUUCGAAGCUUCUAAUGAUCGUACAUGCACCACAUGCCUACAGUAUCACCAGGCAUUCAUUUCAAUCUUGUUAAGUAACUUCCAUAGGAAUGCUAAUAAAAAACAAUGACUUAAACACAAAGAAUGAGCCUAACAACAACCCAAGAGAAGGAUAAUGUAUUGCUUCAAAACAUUUCGACAGGAAGUUCAUCUUUUAUCAGAAAAUAUUCGUGCCAAUCCCGCUCGAAAUUCAAUAGCUACCUUACAGUGUACUAACAAAUAUGCACAAUAAACCCUACAAUGAUCUUUUAACAACAAUUACUCUGCAGAUGAUGAAUGCCAUAGGUCCGGAAAAAGUAAAGAGUAACUAUUUUAUUUCACGAGGAAUAUCGGUAGGUCAUUUACAAAUGCUUCUAUCAUCCAAAUUGUCAAGGUGAAACGGAUGCAGAUAAUUUCAACAUCAUUCUCCCUUAUGAAUAUUUUCUUUCGUUUCCACUUGAAGUUAAAGAAAAUCUCUUUUCCUCCAAUGUAAAAGAAUUCUUGCAGUGAUUGUGGUUUAAAAUUUUAAAUGGAACAGGCAGCGAUCAAUUUUUAUAACAGAAGAAUAAUUAGUAUUGUUCUGAUCAUUCUUUAUGGAAACAUUAAAUUGCAUGAGAAACAAAUAUACCAAAUGCUUUGUAAGCAUUGGACACAUGUUCUUAUACCAUUCAAUACAUGAGCUCUCAUCAAUAUUCACAAACUGGUAAGAUUAUUGAAGUGGUUACACCAGUACUAUAGCAACCAAAGUACGCGGUAUCUUUUGUAACAAACUCUGACCAGAUUUAGGAAGGAAAUAAACAAUAGUGAAUUAAUACACAAUAUAUGUAAUAUUACUGACAAGAGCAAGCUAUCCAACAUACUGAAUUGAGAUUUCUCCCGCAUUAAGUAAAUAGAGGCACUCAGCAGUUAACUUUUAAGUUCUUACCACAUUUUGAGUGCAACCAUCAUAAGCUGCAAUAGAUACACAGGUGCCCAUAACUUAGCUAUCAAAAGCACCUAGUCAGCCUGCAGUAAGAUCGGGAAAAAUGAGAAGCGCAGUUAAAAGAUACCAACUGAUCAGCUUGUGCUGAAUCCUUUGUCAGGAUCAGAUGGAGAUAGAGAUGUUGCCACAUUCCCCGAAGGUUAAAUAGGUAACAAACCCACUAUCAUCUUGGCCUGCUGGCAUGCUUUAAAAGCCUCCAACUUCAGCCUGAAAAGUGCAUCGGGAAUAUCAAAUAUAUCCCAAGUAUAGAAUAAGCAACUUCUUAUUGAGAUAGCAUUAUGUGCUCACUGUGCUAUGGUAGUAUACAUGAAGCUACUGAACAUUUGAGCCAGUAGAUUAAAGCUACUGAAAUUAAAGAGAACUAAUAACGAGCUCACACUCAAGCAACUAAAAAGCGUUCACAGGAAUAAAUCGAGAAAAAAUUAUGAGAAUUACAUUGAACAGAAAUUUAUGCGCUAUAAAAGACAAGGCGGAAAUUAACAUAAAUUUUAACUGUUUGAGAAAAAUAUUUAUGACAAACUGCACUCAAAAUGCUUUUGAGAACCCACAAUCACAUUAGUAAACCAAACAAGCUUUCUUGCAACAUUAAGCGACAGCAAAUUUGUUACAUUAAUAAUCUUUAGCAAAUUUCCCAGAGAGCAAUCUGCAUGAAAGUUUUACAGAAAAUAAGAUAAUCUCCUGAUAAUUUACUGCAAAGCUAAUAGAAGCUGGUCAUCAUUGUAAACUUUUGAGUCAUCCACAUGGGACAAUUUUCUCAUAGCAAAGUGCAAUAGCAUAAACAGAAGCGACAACAUUAAACCAAGACUUACUUCCAAAAUCGCUCAAGGGUAUUCAACUGCUUUUUUCAUGAAAGAUUUUUCAUACAAAAUUAUGCUACAGAAGCUCAUUGUCUUUAGCACAAAAUAUGAGUAGCAUGUGGCACUAAAAUGAAUGACUGACUUUACAGUACAGCAGAAAGUUAAAGAGACAAGUAAGGACCUAAAAAAAAAAAAAAUCCUACAAUGAGCUGACACUAUUUUCCUGAAGACUGAAAGGAACAUUGGUUCUGGUAGAUGCUAAAUGCUUUAGCUCUAUUAAAUGCUCAUCAUCUGAUAUGUGGAGUUCUAGGCGGAGGUUACCCAUCAACUCUUCUUUUUCCCAGGUUAAGGGCCCAGAUGCAUAUAAUGCCAACAAUGUACGAUGAUAGGCUUCUAACUCUAACCGAUGAACUUCUUCCUCUAGAUCCUCUUUUUUAUCAAGGGAAAGAAAUUUCUCAGAUGCACAGGAAGGUUCAAUAUCAUUGAAAUUUAAUGGACUAACUACAGGACAGUAGGGGGACCUAUAAGGGCUGCAGCAAGGACUACAACUACCGACAGAGGAUGCAAUACUCUCAUCAUCAUUAGGUUCAUCAAUAGCAUGUUGUACUCCAUAUCUUUCACCAAGUAUAUACGGUGAAGCAACAGCAUCUACCUUUUCAAGUAGAACUGGCUGGCACUUUCCCUCUUUCUCUACUAAUCUCCUCUUAUUCUUAGCUCCUGCAGAUGUGCCAAUAAUCAUCAAGCAGUCAUUUGGCCUUUUCUCCCCACUUCUCGAUGCGAGCUCCCUAAGACAAGUACUUCUUCCAAAGUGUAAUUGAUCAUCUCCACCGUAUUUCUCCAACUCUAUGCAUGACUGAGGUACUUGUGGGCUAAAGUUCCCCAACUUCAUCCGGCUAUCCAUGACUCCUUUGCAUCUUCGAUAACCCUGCAGCAAAAUAUAAACACAUCAAUCACCAAAAAAGGUUAGAAUAACUUUUCGCAGAACCAUGGCUCAAUGAACGAAAAAAAAAGACCUCGUUUGGCCACGGUCACUGUUUUUCUGGUCUUCAAGCUCAUUGUUUGCAAUUUAUACAUUAAGGAUUUUAAUUGUCAACUAACUACAAUAAUUCAGAGUAACUUUUUUUUCCCCUCUUUGUUGCCUUAGUAAUACCCAAAAACAGAAGCCCAUUCGCUGGCAUGUUGAAUAGCGAAUUUGAGUUUUAAAAAGUAAAAAAAAGCACAUGUGUAACCAAAUGAGGCCUAAAGGUUUUCAGUAAAAAGAAAGAAUCGUAAUCAAUAGCAAAUAACAAGAUCAAAUUAAUAUGAUCACCUUCUGAAUCACAUCCCAUUUCCCAUCCCUCCAAGACUGUCGCACUCUAAGGCCAGAUAAAUGCGCUCUAAAGACUUUCGACGUUCCAAGAAGUCUGACAACAUAAUAACUCGAAUCAAUGACUCGGGACACUAUUGCAAGCUUCCAGGAGUUACUCUCAAAGGCCUCAACUAUGUCACCCUGAACCCAGCUCUCUGUGGACUCGAAAGGAGGCGGGCAUGGCCUGAUAGCCUUUCUCGGCACUCGCCCGACAGCCAAAUUUGUAUCAAGUGAACAAGUAAUGAAUCGCACAUUAUAAGUAUGCCCGUUGCCGGAGAUUAUCUCCGCAGGGCACCAUGAUCCUAAGGGCACCUCCCACUUGCUCAUUACCUCCACCUUGCUGCCUUUCUUGAAUCUCAUUGUGCAAUGAUCUCGGAUUUCAAUUUCGAGAACUUUGAUUUGAACAAUCUGAUGAAGAAAAAAGGCAAAGAAUUAGAUCCACCACAAAUUACUGCAGUAUUUUACACAAUAUUGCAUUCAACAUGAAAUUAUAAGCAUCAACUGAAUAUUCUCCAUAUGCCUAAUCGAUACGCUAUUUAGUUAAGAGAAAAACGUGCAAAGAAACGCAAACAAACACGGUAAAAUCUAGUAAAACUACAAAUCAGCCGAUGAAGUUUUGUUUCCAACAAAUAUCGAAGUUAAUUCCACUAAUGAUACAAUAGCUAGCAUAUAAAUAUCGACCAUACGUCGUUAGAAACCUACAAAAAAUUGCAUCAGGGUGCAAAUACUAACAUCGAUCGAACUUAACACAGAAGAGACAAUAGCAUGAUCGAACAACCAUACAAUAAGUGCAAGUUACGAUGCGAAACUGGAUUUAAUAACUACGAAAACCCUAGGACUGAUUCAACAUCAAACCCUUACUAACCUUCAAUAAAAAGCAUCUAAUAAUCACCCCAAAAAUUGAAGAACAUCUCAACAAAAUUAAAAAAUAAUCAGAAACAUAACAACAAAACAAAUAACAGCACCUAAUAAAAGAAUCACCCACCGAUCCCCGUACUUAAAACUAGUCCAAAAGGAACAAAAGGACGAUAAAUUCCAAAAUAGAUGAAAUGAUCGAGCAAAAACACACAAAAUUACAAAAAAAAAUGGAUAUAUUUCGAAUGAAGUGUGAAAGAAAAUCACAAUUACCUCUCUACGAUCGAUCGAUCGGAGACGAAGAGCGAUCGAUUCGUCUCCUUCUCACCUUCGCUUCUCUUCGACGAUCCCUCGCGCUCUCCCUCUUCCCUCCGCUGCCCCCAAAUUCCUUCCUUCUGUGGGUUUAAUUUCUCGGCUUAUUUCUACCUUUUUAAUUUUUCGGUUUAAAAAGCGUAAAUUGGUAGGAGAAAAUUAUAUUAAAAAAAGGGUAAACUUCAAAUACCACCCUGUAGUUUCUCAGUUUCUCACUUGAAUAUCUCAUAUUUUAGAUUGUAUUAAGUUAGUCCCUCGUGAUUUUAUUUUUAUCUUUUUGUCAUUUUUUCGUUAAUAUUUCGUUAAAUUAUAUACAAAAAACUUCAAAUACCCUAUUUAAACUUAUCGUAUAUUCACUUUAGUAUCAUUUAGUUUUUAUUUUAUCACUGAUUUAAUAAAAAAAUUUGUAAAAUUAAUAAUAAAAAAAUAAAAAUGAAAUCAUAGGCACUAAAUUGAUAUACUCUAAAUUAUCAGAUACUAAAGUGAAAAUAUAUGAAACCACAUGAAUGAUAUUUGAAGUUUUUUUUUUAAAAAUAUUUAUACAUUUAACGGACGUGACGGGAAUUAAAAUCCAACUGUGGGGUAGGGGUUACGUCCGGGGAGAAGAGGUGGCGAGUCCGAAACGAACUGGGAUGCGGUUGAACGAUAUUAACGGUCGGAUGAGGAGCGGAGUGGACGGUUGGAUGUGGAAUGGACGGUCAACGAUUUUUCUCGAAUCUUCCAUGUGUGUGAGUUAAAUCGAACCGGUAACACCAGUGGCGGUGCACCCAAUUUAGAGUAGAGAGGAGUUAUUUUCCUCUGUAAAUAUUCAUUUUUAUUAUUUAAUUUAAUAAAUAUAAAUUAAAUUUAUUUGUAAUUUUAUUUUUUUUAAAUAUUAUAAUUAAAUUUGUUUUGUUUGAUAUCCAAAGUUAAUGGCCGACAAAAUAAUAGAAAAUUAACUAUUGUGAUUUUUUUAUUUUUUAUAUGUUAAUAUACAAAGUUUCAGUAAACUAAACAAAAAGAGUGAAAUAAUUAUCGUAAUUUUAAAGUCAUUGAUUUUCUACAGAAAUAAACAACAACNAAAUAAAAAAAUCACAAUAGUUAAUUUUCUAUUAUCAUGUGAUUUUUUUAUUUUUUAUAUGUUAAUAUACAAAGUUUCAGUAAACUAAACAAAAAGAGUGAAAUAAUUAUCGUAAUUUUAAAGUCAUUGAUUUUCUACAGAAAUAAACAACAACAUAAAAAAUAAAUUCACAUGAACUUCACAUCAACUAAAAGUCAUUUUCUAGGUAACAAAUAUUUAUAGGCGAACAAAAAAGUUGUAACGAAUAAUAUAAAUUUUUUUAAUUUAAAACUUGCAAAAUUUUCUUUCAAAAUAAACCUUCCUGCAACACUCGCCUGGCCCAUUUUAAGAACGGUUUGGCCUUAUUAUGGAAGUAGCAGAAUAUAGCAAGACCAAUUUGUAUAAAAAAAAAUCACUAAUUUUAUGAUUUUGCAAAGAUAGACUGUUUUUUAGAAUUUUAUAGAUUCGGUUCGAAAUUCUUGAAAAUUAAAUCAAAUAUUCUUACUUAUUUUUCUCCUUUUUUUUUUUUUUCUGUUGUUUUUUCUUUCCUCCAACCCUCCUCCACCUAGCUCCUUCGUAGCCAUCAGCGACGGUAAUGAAGGUAGCUCCUCAGUUUGAAUAAGAACAGAGCAGAUGGAGGUGAUGAGGGCGUGGCCGAGAUAAUACUUGUUAUCGCCCGUAAAGGUGAAGACGAAAACAUACCCGCACUUUUCCAAAAAAAGCCACAGAAAGUAAAAGAAAUAAUAAUAAAAAAUAAAAAUAUCUUUUUCUAUAGAAAAGAUCAAAAAUCAGUGAUGAAAGAAGAGAAUAUGAAAUAGCACCGUUAAAAUUAGGUUUCAUUAUUUGAGAAGAAAUUUGAACGAAAAUUACAUAUUUUGAGAUAAAAAAUUGUAUUAUCUCAUAUGAGAGUUACACGUUUUGAGAAAUAUUACACUAUUUUUUCUCCUCCUUUUCCUUCGCUUCGCAUGCUUCUUCCGUGCCCAUCUGAGGUCGACGACGCGUGGUGGAGGCGGAGGAAAGCGCCGCGAUGCCGGAGAAGAGAGCGGCGGAGAAGUGGGCCGGGUCGGGCCCUCUGUACGACGCGCCUGGCCCGUAGGCCAGCUGCGGUCGGCCGGGCCGGGCCAGCAGGCUUGCUUCUGGGAGGGUCGCGCCCGCUGCGGGACAGGCCAGGCCAGAAGGCCCUCUUCGGGGCGGGCCAGGCCUGAGCGCUCGCUGGCCCGCUGCAGCCGGGCAGGGCCCGCCCUCCGGUACCGGGUGGGGCAGGACGGGCCAGCGCAUCCGCAGGGCGUGGCGGGCCUCUCUCCCACAAUUGCUUCUCUCUUCUUUUUUUUUUUUUUUUUUUUUUUUUUUAACUUCUCUUCUCUGUCGAUGCACAAAGAAGAACAUAAAAAAAGAUGACAACACACCUAAGUUCGAAUNUUUUAACUUCUCUUCUCUGUCGAUGCACAAAGAAGAACAUUAAAAAAGAUUACAACACACCUAAGUUCGAAUCCUAGUUGAUUCACAUUUUCAGCUAAAUUUAUUUCCAAAUGAAAUAAACGAAGCGGGUAGCGUGCUACCAAUCUCUCAAAAAAAAAAAAAAUUACAACAGAAAUGCACGAAAUAGAAAGAAAAAAAAAAAAAAAAACACAACGAAUGUAAGAUUUUUUUUCGUAUAUCUCAUGGUCAUUUUAAAAGAAAUUAAUACUUAACUUAUUUGGAUAAAUCGCAAUCCGCACCUUAUGUGAAUCGAGUUGAAUUUCAACAAAUCAAUGUGGACACACCACAUGGCAAUAUUUUUAAAAAUAGAUUUCCAUUUUAAGGUAUUAUAUCAUAUUUUGGUUCUCGAAGAUGUCGGUGUACGGACUGGGAGGAUGGAUGUAAAUAAUCUUAACUACAAAACAGUGCUUCGUAUCACUUUCUGAAAAGAUUAAAAAUAAAACUGAAGUUCAAUUUAUAAUUUUUUUUUUUUUCUGAAAAUUGCAGAGGCUGAAAGGAGAAAAACCAUGGUCUGAUAGAGGACAGAUGCGUUGAUGGACCAGAUCGAGGCAAAGCUUUUUCUCUUGGAACUCUCUCAAAAUUUAGAUGAAUAGUCAAUUAAACCAUUCAUAGUCUUUAACUAAGAAAGACGGCAAAUGCAGCGCGCCGACCUCCGCUUUCUCGUGUUGAAGGCAAGAAGCCACCAAAUUGCAAAUGCUAGUUUUUAUCAAACAACAGCGUAGAAACUCAUAAUUUAUGGCACUUCCCAUAACUUCUAAUUGGAUAAUAUCAGAGAACUUUAAAAGUUUCACAUGGGAGAUAAUGUAAGUGUGUCAAACCCUUAUCUAUUGGAAGCACACUAAUACUAAUAUGAAAGUUAAGCAUUUAAAUAGAUGAUUUGUAUCAAACGAGUUGUUGGUAUUAUAUUUAGUACUAGAGCCGGAUUGGCAACCGAAAGUGUAAGAUAAAUUUAAUGCACCUUAUAAUUUUUAACUGUUUGUAUAAAUGGAUCUAACGAAAAUAUAAGAAUCUAAAUGACAAAUUUGAUCUGACGCGGAUAGCAGGAUGUGAAACGGAUUCAAGUGAUGACGCGUGCAACGGAUCAGAUUGGAACAUUUUUGCAUUUGACCUAUUUAAAUCAGAGGUGGAGGAAAUCCGAGGUAACGAUGUUGCGGGUCAAACUUCUGAUCCUUGAUGGAAGGUUAAAAAGAAAAGAAAGAAAAGGAUGGAGUGAAAGUCUGAUGUGCACCAUCGGGCUUGGCACUACUUUGCAUCGGUUGGAUUUAUGGAAGGUUACUGCAUUCCAGAAGCAUAGAUAGCUGGAUUGUUUCGUUGGCUUGGGGUAAUAAUAAUAAUAAAGUUCAUUGUUAGAACCAAGUGCCCAUUUCCUUUCUCCUCAAACAACAACCGAGAGAGAGAGAGAGAGAGAGAGAGAGAGAGAGAGAGAGAGAGAGAGAGAGA